GGACAGUGUCGGACUAGGCUGGAUCAUUAAAUAGGGGAUUGAAAAUCCCCGUGUAGGGGGUUCGAUUCCCUCCCUGGCCACCA
RNAcentral lists this transfer RNA (83 nucleotides) under Silanimonas sp. RNAcentral's name for it is "tRNA-Ser". The stretch from base 17 to 80 matches the Rfam family "tRNA". From Rfam's summary of the family: Transfer RNA (tRNA) molecules are approximately 80 nucleotides in length. Their secondary structure includes four short double-helical elements and three loops (D, anti-codon, and T loops). Lineage: Bacteria; Pseudomonadati; Pseudomonadota; Gammaproteobacteria; Lysobacterales; Lysobacteraceae. The record is from RNAcentral.